Caenorhabditis elegans is the source of this 21-nucleotide non-coding RNA. NCBI's taxonomy places the organism in Eukaryota, Metazoa, Nematoda, Chromadorea, Rhabditida, Rhabditidae. The record is from Ensembl.
UUGAUGUUACUGGAAUAUGGA